CCCGUUGUACANACCCCCCGCCCGUCAAGCCACGGAAGUUGGGAGGCACCCAAACGUACAUCUACCUAACCGCAAGGAGGGUGAUGCCCAAGGUGAAACCGAUGACUGGGGCU
Molecule: ribosomal RNA, 113 nt
Filed under: uncultured bacterium
Lineage: Bacteria
Description: partial 16S ribosomal RNA
Source: RNAcentral